This 90-nucleotide microRNA precursor is filed under the name Otolemur garnettii (small-eared galago). Its description in RNAcentral is "miRNA (ENSOGAG00000030981.1)". Lineage: Eukaryota; Metazoa; Chordata; Mammalia; Primates; Galagidae. The record is from RNAcentral.
CAGGUGGGGGUCCUAUCCUGCUGGGGCCUCCAGAAAUGUUAUGUCCGAGGCAGCAGAGAGAAAAUUGGACCCCACUUCUGAUGCAAUCAA